GACCCGACAAGAGCCUGUCCAUCCCUUCACCUCCACUAAGAUCAGGGCACUCCAGGAGUCUUGGCAGGGCCACCCCAGCCUCUGCUCUGCCCUGGAAAGUCCUCGUUUCACACUGACUCAGUUUCAGUUUUGGAAGGAAGUCAGAGGUUGCCUCCAUGUCCCUUCUCUCCACUGGUUCUCUGGAACCCUCCAUCAUAGAUGUCCCCGCCCUUCCUUCCCCUGUCAGGAGCAAAACUCCCGCCCCUCCAGGAGCUGGCCUCUCUAAGUCUUCUUGUAUCAGGCCAGGCUCAGCCCUGGAGGCCACAGCUCAGGCCCUGGGCCAGCCGAAGGGGCAGGGCAAGGAACCUACAUUGUUCUGUGCCCAGCCCCUUUAAGAGGCCCAUACAGACAAGAGCAAAUUCAGUAGGUUGAGUCAUCCACUCUAUAGUGAUUAAGCAGGGAUGGUGGAGAAGGAGAGAGUGUCAGCUCUGGAACCAGGUGGCCUUAGAUUGAAAUCCUAGCUCUGCUAUUUACCAGCCGGGUGGCCUUGGGUAGAAUGUGAGCAUGGAGUCUGGAGCAGGAGCAGCUGUUGUGCACUGUGAGGUUGAAGCCGUGUGUUGAGAAUAGCAGAGCAACAAAGCAAUAGGACCUGGAGCCCCCAGGGGCCAUGAAGCCCCUACCAGCCCUGCACUGCUUAGAUUUACUUGAGCAAGAAAUAAACCGUUGAUUGUUUAAACCAG
Chlorocebus sabaeus (green monkey) is the source of this 719-nucleotide long non-coding RNA. RefSeq lists it as uncharacterized. Lineage: Eukaryota; Metazoa; Chordata; Mammalia; Primates; Cercopithecidae. The record is from RefSeq and is a predicted model, not a curated record.